UCCGGUUUAUCUCCGGCAGUCUAUCUAGAUAUGCAACUAAGAGCAGGGGUUGCGCUCGUUGCGGCACUUAAGCCAACACCUCACGGCACGAGCUGACGACAACCAUGCACCACCUGUGAACCGGCCCCAAAGGGGAAACCACAUUUCUGCGGCGGUCCGGUCCAUGUCAAGCCUUGGUAAGGUUCUUCGCGUUGCAUCGAAUUAAUCCGCAUGCUCCGCCGCUUGUGCGGGCCCCCGUCAAUUCCUUUGAGUUUUAGCCUUGCGGCCGUACUCCCCAGGCGGGGCACUUAAUGCGUUAGCUACGGCGCGGAAAACGUGGAAUGUCCCCCACACCUAGUGCCCAACGUUUACGGCAUGGACUAC
Molecule: unclassified non-coding RNA, 363 nt
Filed under: uncultured Micrococcaceae bacterium
Lineage: Bacteria; Bacillati; Actinomycetota; Actinomycetes; Micrococcales; Micrococcaceae
Description: contains 16S-23S intergenic spacer region
Source: RNAcentral